UUACAGUGUGGUUUGGGUGGCUGUCUGU
Molecule: non-coding RNA, 28 nt
Filed under: Rattus norvegicus (Norway rat)
Lineage: Eukaryota; Metazoa; Chordata; Mammalia; Rodentia; Muridae
Source: RNAcentral